UACGUAGGGAGCAAGCGUUGUUCGGAAUUAUUGGGCGUAAAGAGCGCGUAGGCGGUUCGGUAAGUCUGAUGUGAAAUCCCAGAGCUUAACUUUGGAACUGCAUUGGAUACUGCCGAGCUUGAGUGUGGGAGAGGAGAGUGGAAUUCCCAGUGUAGAGGUGAAAUUCGUAGAUAUUGGGAGGAACACCCGUGGCGAAGGCGGCUCUCUGGACCACAACUGACGCUGAGGCGCGAAAGCUAGGGUAGCAAACGGGAUUAGAUACCCCUGUA
This 269-nucleotide ribosomal RNA is filed under the name uncultured prokaryote. RNAcentral's name for it is "partial 16S ribosomal RNA". It matches the Rfam family "Bacterial small subunit ribosomal RNA", at positions 524 to 792 of the family's 1533-position model. The record is from RNAcentral.